Oncorhynchus nerka (sockeye salmon) is the source of this 3581-nucleotide long non-coding RNA. RefSeq lists it as uncharacterized. Lineage: Eukaryota; Metazoa; Chordata; Actinopteri; Salmoniformes; Salmonidae. The record is from RefSeq and is a predicted model, not a curated record. The transcript is spliced from 2 exons.
GAUGUAGGCUAAGCAACAAACAUGUAUCCCAUAAAUCAAUCCCCUUCAAUUAAUGUUUGUUUCGUGCAGCUCUACGCCAGAAGAACAGUGGGCAGUGGAUCAAACCCCUUCAACAGUGUUCAUUUAAAAGAGGAAACAAGCCCAUCUCAUCUGAACCUGAACAGGCUGUUAAUAUUCCUCUAUUACCUGGGUCUAUAGCCUCGGUCCCCAGGUGCUGCUGGGCCCCAUGCCAGCCAUCUGUUCCAGCAGGCACGGGGCCCGGCUGUGCGGGGCUCAUCUGCAGCUAAGGCCAGUGGCAGGUGAUCUCCCAUUGUGUAAUGGAUGAGGCCUUCCCGCUGGAAGAAAGGGCAGCUGCCAGAGUGAUACUCAGAUUUAUUUAGAGAUGUUCAUUCCCACACAUUCUCCAGAGACUUGAAUGAUUUAACACACACCAAACAAUGUGAGCUCAUGUAGAAAACCAAAACAUUUAAAGGAUUUUAUCACAUCAUUAAUAAAUUAUCAUAGAUAUGAUCUGCAUAUUCUAUUCUGUACCUAGGCUAGCCAUACACAUACUGUAUAGAUACUGUAUGACACCUCUAUAAGCGGAUAAAACUUGUCCUGACAUGUUGUCCAUCUAUAAAGUCCUAAAGUAUACCUCUUUCUCAAUCCUCCACAGAAGAAUCUCUACAAAUACUGUCUGUGAUUGAUGAUAUCUUCCUCUGUAAUCCCUCUCUGACUUAUUUCUCUGAGAGGUUGUAUUCUUUAUUCUAGGUCUCCAGGGUUGCCUCUACAGUGAAGCACAGGCUAAUAUGAGCUGCAGCGCAAGCCUAGCUAGCUGUACCCAGUCAUCAUCCUGAAAGGAGGUUAAUGUGGUGUGGCUGUGAGCUACUUCCAGUUCCCCUGCCUCUCAUCCGCCUGCCUGCCUACUCACUGCCAUGUAAUUGUGUUAUUACGUCGUAGGAUUGUCAGAGGACUCCUGGGCCCCAGUGAAGAUGUCUGAGCACGGAGCAGCAGUGCCUGUGGAAGUUAACUUGACAUAUAAAUUGCUAUCUGACUACCCGGAGAUAGAUAAAUGCAUCUCGCCAGAGAACAGAUGCAGGGAGCAGUGACCUGACAUCGCUUUUGACAGACUCUAUGUCGUCUCUUUCGCUUCUCCCCUCAUUUAUUUUCUCUCACUCACUUGCUGUCUCUCUGUUCACUUUGUCAGCUGCUGUUUCUUCCUUUGAUAUCUUUACUACAAGAGUUUCCACUGACGGAAGAGUCUGAACCAUGUUUGCCAUGGGAUUACUGGGCUUUGUAGGAGUAGAGACAGGUUGGGGACAGUUGGUUAUGCAUUGUGGUGAAUUGACUCAUGUUGUUGAGGUCACAAGUCAGGUCACAAACGUCAUCAUGAAUAUUUAGGUCAAAUGCAUAUUGAAUUAGCCUGGUCUCUUUGUGCUGUUUUGCCAACGCAUAUGAUGGGACUAAGCUAAUGAUGUAUAACUUUCCCAGAUGCUUAGCAAUGACCUUGCAGUAAGAAAAGGAACCAUCAGCUUACAGUUACAUUGCAUUCAGAAAGUAUUCAGACCCCUUGACUUUUUCCACAUUUUGUUACAUUACAGCCUUAAUUCUAAAAUGUAUUAAAUAUUUUUUUCCCCUCACCAAUCUACACACAAUACCCCAUAAUGUCAAAGCAAAAACAGGUUUUUAGACAUUUAUGCAAAUGUAUAUAAAAAAACGGAAAUAUCACAUUUACAUAAGUAUUCAGACCCUCUACUCAAUACUUUGAUGAAGCACCUUUGUCAGUGAUUACAGCCUCGAGCUGAUCGUGGACUACAGGAAAAGGCGGACCGAACAGGCCUCAAUUAACAUCAAUGGGGCUGUAGUAUAGCGGGUCGAGAGUUUCAAGUUCCUUGGUGUCCACAUCACCAACAAACUAUCAUGGUCCAAACACACCAAGACAGUCGUGAAGAGGGCACAACAAACCUUUUUCCCCUCAGGAGAGUGAAAAUAUUUGGCAUGGGUCCCCAGAUCGUCAAAGAUUUCUACAGCUGCACCAUCGAGAGCAUCCUGACCGGUUGUAUCACCGCCUGGUAUGGCAACUGCUCGGCAUCUGACCGUAAGACACUACAGAGGGUAGUGCGUAAGGCCCAGUACAUCACUGGCCAAGCUUCCUGCAAUCCAAGACCUAUAAAAUAGGCGGUGUCAGAGGAAAGCCCAUAAAAUUGUCAGAGACUCCAGUCAACCAAGUCAUAGACUGUUUUCUCUGCUACCUCACGGCAAGCGGUACCAGAGCGCCAAGUCUAGGACCAAAAGGCUCCUCAACAGCUUCUAACCCCAAGCCAUAAGACUGUUGACAAUUAAUCAAAUGGCCACCGGACUAUUACAUUGACCCUCCCCCUCCAUUUGUUUUGUACACUGCUGCCACUCACUGUUUAUUAUCUAUGCAUAGUCACUUCACCCCAACCUACAUGUACAAAUGACCUCAACUAACCUGUACCCCCGCACACUGACUCGGUAUUGGUACCCCCUGUAUAUAGCCUCGUUAUUGUUAUGUUAUUGUGUUACUUUUUAUUAUUUUAAAUUCUUUACUUUAGUUUAUUUGGUAAAUAUUUUCUUAACUCUUCUUGAACUGCACUGUUGGUUAAGGGCUUGUAAGUAAGCAUUUCACGGUAAGGUCUACACUUGUUGUAUUCUGCGCAUGUGACAAAUAAAGUUUGAUUUGAUUUGAGUCUUCUUGGGUAUGACGCUACAAGCUUGGCACACCUGUGUUUGGUGAGUUUCUCCCAUUCUUCCCUGCAGAUCCUCUCAAGCUCUGUCAGGUUGGAUGGGGGAGUGUUGCUGCACAGCUAUUUUCAGGUCACUCCAGAGAUGUUCGAUCGGGUUCAAGUCCGGGCUCUGGCAUCUCAAGGAUGAUAAAUGAAAACAGGAUAUGCCUGAGCUCAAUUUCGAGCAAAGGCUCUGAAUACUUAUGUAAAUACGUUUUUUUUUUUUUUUGCAAAAAAACAAAUAUGUUUUCGCUUUGUCAUUAUGGGGUAUUGUGUGUAGAUUGCUGAGGAUUUUUAUUCUUUAAUACAUUUUAGAAUAAGGCUGUGACAUAACAAAAUGUGGAAAAAGUCAAGGGGUCUGAAUACUUUCCGAAGGCACUGUAUGUUUUUCAAGAUGAUGUAGUUCACAUCAACCUCUGUAUGUUGUUAAUUAAGGAAACGUGGUGAUGAUGUUAUUGAUUCUAUCUUCAUACAGUAAUUCAGCUGAUCACACGCGACAGUACAUGUCUAGUCAUUGUGCUCUGUUUAUUGCAGCAAAACAGAGCAGAUUCUGCGCCUCCAUGCUCCAGCUCUUACAGUGACAAUUUAAAUCCAGCUAUGUUUGUGCAGCUGAGGUGUCACGACUUCCGAACAAGACGUCACCGGCUUUCUAGUCACCACCGAUCCAUGUUUCAUUUUCGUUUUGUUUUGUCUGUAUUACACACACCUGGUUUCAAUUCCCAUAUCAUGUUCCUUAUUUAACCCUCUGGCAUACAUUUCUGUUCUCUCCGUGAUUGUUGGUGUCUUAAUGGUUGUUGUAGGUGUUAGUUUGUAUUGCUUGGAUUUUUGUGAGUAAACUCAGUUGUGUUGCUCAAA